RNAcentral lists this ribosomal RNA (504 nucleotides) under uncultured bacterium. RNAcentral's name for it is "partial 16S ribosomal RNA". It matches the Rfam family "Bacterial small subunit ribosomal RNA", at positions 29 to 523 of the family's 1533-position model. The record is from RNAcentral.
AUUGAACGCUGGCGGCAGGCCUAACACAUGCAAGUCGGACGGUAGCACAGAGAGCUUGCUCUCGGGUGACGAGUGGCGGACGGGUGAGUAAUGUCUGGGGAUCUGCCCGAUAGAGGGGGAUAACCACUGGAAACGGUGGCUAAUACCGCAUAACGUCGCAAGACCAAAGAGCGGGACCUUCGGGCCUCUCACUAUGGGAUGAACCCAGGUGGGAUUAGCUAGUAGGUGGGGUAACGGCCCACCUAGGAGACGGUCCCUAGCUGGUCUGGGAGGAUGCCCAGCCAAACUGGAACGGAUACACGGUCCAGACGCCUACGGGAGGCAGCAGUGGGGAAUAUUGCACAAUGGGCGCAAGCCUGAUGCAGCCAUGCCGCGUGUAUGAAGAAGGCCUUCGGGUUGUAAAGUACUUUCAGCGGGCAGGAAGGCGAUGUGGUUAAUAACCGCGUCGAUUGACGUUACCCGCAGAAGAAGCACCGGCUAACUCCGUGCCAGCCGCCGCCGUAA